This 222-nucleotide unclassified non-coding RNA is filed under the name Hevea brasiliensis (rubber tree). The record is from RNAcentral. Lineage: Eukaryota; Viridiplantae; Streptophyta; Magnoliopsida; Malpighiales; Euphorbiaceae.
GUCACUUGCCUGGCUGUGAUGUUGUCAAUCUUCUUGAUCUUGAUCUUCUCUCUAGCCAUCCUCUAGCUAGCUCUGGGACCGUUGAGGAGCUUUGGGUUGAGUUAGGGUCGAACUAAAAGCCAGCCAAGUAGAGAAAGUAGAACCUGCACGGUAAAGAGAAAGGAGAAGACUGCAGAGAGAGUUGCUCAGUAGGUAAAUGUGUUCAAGAAAGGAAAGGUUGCA